GACGAACGCUGGCGGCGUGCUUAACACAUGCAAGUCGAACGGUAAGGCCCUUCGGGGUACGACGAGUGGCGAACGGGUGAGUAACACGUGGGUGAUCUGCCCUGCACUUCGGGAUAAGCCUGGGAAACUGGGUCUAAUACCGGAUAGGACUCCUGGCUUCAUGGUUGGGGGUGUAAAGCUUUUGCGGUGUGGGAUGGGCCCGCGGCCUAUCAGCUUGUUGGUGGGGUAAUGGCCUACCAAGGCGACGACGGGUAGCCGGCCUGAGAGGGUGACCGGCCACACUGGGACUGAGAUACGGCCCAGACUCCUACGGGAGGCAGCAGUGGGGAAUAUUGCACAAUGGGCGCAAGCCUGAUGCAGCGACGCCGCGUGAGGGAUGACGGCCUUCGGUUGUAACUACUUCAAUAGGACGAAG
RNAcentral lists this ribosomal RNA (415 nucleotides) under uncultured bacterium. RNAcentral describes it as "bacterial SSU rRNA". It matches the Rfam family "Bacterial small subunit ribosomal RNA", at positions 28 to 450 of the family's 1533-position model. The record is from RNAcentral.